Molecule: transfer RNA, 76 nt
Filed under: Luteitalea pratensis
Lineage: Bacteria; Pseudomonadati; Acidobacteriota; Vicinamibacteria; Vicinamibacterales; Vicinamibacteraceae
Also listed under: 4 other names
Description: tRNA-Lys
Rfam family: tRNA
About the family: Transfer RNA (tRNA) molecules are approximately 80 nucleotides in length. Their secondary structure includes four short double-helical elements and three loops (D, anti-codon, and T loops).
Source: RNAcentral
GCGCCUGUAGCUCAGUCGGUAGAGCAGCGGCCUUUUAAGCCGUUGGUCGUGGGUUCGAGUCCCACCGGGCGCACCA